Non-coding RNA from Myodes glareolus (Bank vole), 1061 nucleotides. The record is from RefSeq and is a predicted model, not a curated record. NCBI's taxonomy places the organism in Eukaryota, Metazoa, Chordata, Mammalia, Rodentia, Cricetidae.
AAGAUUACCACCCACAACAUGUUAAGCUACCUGCAGGUUGGACAGCAUGUUCCGGGUUGUGAAAAUUAUCACUCAUGAUGGGGUGGGCUCUUAGUGAUUCUGUCUUCAAGUCAUUCUGCUCCUUGCAGAAGCCUAUCACCCAUAUUCUGUAAGUAUCCCCAAUAAAAUGGCUCUCCAAAUUGGGCUUGGGUGAUUUCUGCUGUUGGCUGCCUAUCUGGGGUGAGUAGGCAUCGCUAGGAGAGCUGCUGGGUCCCCCACACAUCUGUGUGCUAUGUCAGAUAGCAGGAACUGUCUCAGGAGACUCUGCCAAAGCCACAGCCUUAUACAGCAGUUCUGUGAAGUUGUCUUCCUGGGAACUGCCUGCUCAGUCUUGGACCGAAGCCACCCAUGCUACUGAUCCCUAAAGCUGAGCAUUAUUGUUUCAAAACAAUUUACGUAAUCCUCCUCAUUUCUCCCUCAGACACCACUCGUCUUUCUGAAUACAUCCAUAAUUUACCACGGUGCUCAUCUUCUGAGGACAGGAUGCAUGCCGAAUUAAAUUCAUUACCUUCGCAGAUCCGUUUGUGUGGGGUCUACCAAGCUUGUUGAAGGGGACGGAAGAGGGACAUGGCCAAAUAGGCCUAAGAAGGACCCCUUUGUGGCAUCUUGGAGAGGCAAGCAACAGAGACAAGCGCAGCUGGAAGAGGAAGAAGAUGAAGGUGAUUUGGGAGAGUUCACAGUUCUGCUUGCCCACACGCUGGUACCACAGCCCCGUGGCAAGUAAACAGCAAUGCAUGAGAGAGCUGGUGAUACAGAGAAAUACUCACUACAGGCAUGAGGGGAGAAGUCAUACGGAUGGGAAGAUAAAGAUGGAGGCAAUGAAUCUGCACGCUAAGAAGGACACCCAGAUCACCAGAACUUAAGGGAGGCCUGGAGCAGGUGCCCACAUACACUUCAGUCCUGGUCCUCAGCCUCUAGAGCCGGAAGCACUUCUCUUUUUCCUGCCACCCCUAUCACAAGUUGUUUGUUUCUUCACUCAGUCCUGGAAAAUUAAAACAAUGCUAGAAGACGUUAUGGAACCA